GGUGGUAUCACCCCCACGGAGAACAGGAGGAAGCUGGGCCCCGGGUCCAGAAACGUGGCCACGUCCCCUGCCUGGGAAGGACUGUCUGGGGAGGGGCCUCUGUGUGCUUCCAGCCUCUUUCCUGCAUCCAGGUUGAGCUGACUGGUCGGGAGGACACAGGGUGUCCUGUCCCAGGAGGAAGUGAAGCAAGCACGUGGUGUUUCUGUAGCACAGCUGUCCUGGGUCCGGGCCAGUGUACCUGCCUUCCCGGAGCCCAGGUCACGUGGCUGUCUGUCGCCACCUGCUGUCCUGUCCCAUGUGGGGAGAGACUGGCAGGGGUCUGUGCCACACUCACGUGCCCACCACCCAGGACCCGAGUCCCUCCCAGCAGGGCCUCUGGUGUGGUUUCUAGUUUCUCUGCAGGCCCUGGCACUGGGUGGUUUUAAGCUGCUGCUCCCAUGUCUCAAAGGUACCUUGCAAUUCACAGAGCCGCCUUCACACCAGCUGCACACAGCCUCCUGUUGGCUUGUUCCUGGGGCUUAAACCUAACUGAGCAGUGUUGUUCUAAGUUGCAGAGAUCAAAGACCUGGACAGCAACCUUUACCCCAUUGGCCAGAGCAACAUCAGCAAGUCAGGCAGGUAUCACAUGGGAAAGGGGGAGAGAGGGAGGGGCUGGGAAGAAGCCCACAGGGUGGGAGAGUGAUUUGCCAAGGGCCUCACGCUCUGUUGGUGGCAGGUCUUCCUUCACAGAUCCAGGGUAGGAUGUGCUGAGCCAAGAAGGACCUGGCUUGUCAGAGCUGAGCUUGUUUUUCUAAGGGGUCAACAGGGAGGGGGCAAUAGCCCAGGGUGGGGCCCUGUAGGUGGGCAGGCCUGAAUGACUCAGACAUGAGGGCUUUCACUUUCCCUUUUGCUUCCUGGUGUAUAUCUGGGCCCAGAGGGUGUGUGCGGUUUAUUGAAGAGAUGCACAGCUGGUGACUGCAUCUGCAGAGCUGAGAACAACUGGAUCUUGUUCACACUCAGGCAGAGGAAGACUCCUGGGGUGAAGCCACACCUCCUUCUAGCCUGACGCAGACAAGGAGCUGAAAGGAGAUCUCUGAGAUCCUGCUACUGCCAUGAACCCAAAAGACCUCCGGGACUGCUCAGGUCUGUGAAGAAAGCUGAGUGCUGAAGAAUUGAUGCUUUUGAAGUAUGGUGUUGGAGAAGACUCUUGGGAGUCCCUUGGACUGCAAGGAGGUCCAGCCAGUCCAUCCUAAAGGAGAUCAGUCCUGGGUGUUCAUUGGAAGGACUGAUGUUAAAGCUGAAACUCCAAUACUUUGGCCACCUCACGCAAAGAGCGGACUCAUUGGAAAAGACCCUGAUGCUGGGAGGGAUUGGGGGCAGAAGGAGAAGGGGAUGACAGAGAACGAGAUGGCUGGAUGGCAUCACCGAGUCAAUGGACAUGAGUUUGAGUGAACUCCGGGAGUUGGCUUUGGACAGGGAGGCCUGGCAGGCUGUGAUUCAUGGGGUCGCAAAGAGUCAGACAUGACUGAGCAACUGACCUGAAUUCAACUGAACUGAACCAGGUCUGAUACCUCAGGCAGGUCCUGGCUCUACUGACCUCAAACACCUCUGCAGAUAACCAAGUUCUCUGUCAUUUCCCGUACCCACCCACACCCCAAUCAAUAAACAAACAGAUUUAGUGCUCUGGGAUCCCUCCAUAUGAGACCUGGGUUCCUUUCACUCUUACUAAAACAGGAAAAAGAAAAAAAAUUAACAACCCUUCAUGCUGCAGGAUAGACAGAGAGAGUAGUGAGCUGGUAUCUCUUCCUCUUCAAAUAAGGGCACAAAUCAUCUUGGAUUUGGGCCCCACACUUAUGACCUCAUUUCACUGUAAUUUCCACCUUAAAGACCUUAUCUUCAAAUAGACUCAUUGAGGUGGGGGUGAGGCUAUGGCUUCAACAUAUGAUUGGGGCGGUUGGACACAGUCCACCCAUAACCCCAGGUGAAUCCAUCACGAGUACCCCCAGGUGACUGCUGCUCAGGAAGAUUAACUUUAACCAGUUUAUGCUCAGUACUAUUUACCAUUUACAUUACACCAUAAUUUCUUCUCAUCCUAGUCUUUUAUCCAGUUAGGGUAAAAGCUUUUUUGAGGAUAUCAUUGAGUAUAUCUAGAAGAGAGUAAGCAACGAAGAGCUGCAAGACCUGCUCACUGAAGUCAAAACCCAGGAGAAUUUUGUGAUUGAGGCCCGUUUGUCCAGGGAAGAAGUGGAGGCAUUGCAUGAAUUUCUGAAUGAGUUGAAGACAGACUUGGCUAUGGAAGACCAAGAGAGAUUCCAACAGGACCUGCUAGACAGGGAGAGGUUUUUAAAGGAGUUUCUUCGGUGAAAAAGGAGCUGGAAGAGAGCAUAAAGCUCUAAGCACUUGCAGACAGGGUUGACAAGUCACACAGGGACUGUACCAUCUUCAAGGUGGUGGCCAGCUCUACCGGCACUGUGUCUGGUGCUCUGAACACCCUUGGCCUGGCUCUGGCACCCCUGACAGCAGGGGCCAGGUGGCGCUCUCGACCAUUGGGUUAGGGCUGGGAGCAGCAGCUGUGGUGACCACUGUGUCCACCAGCAUCGUGGAACACUUUAGUAGGUCAUCAGCAGAAAUGGAAGCCAGUG
Molecule: long non-coding RNA, 2621 nt
Organism: Bos taurus (domestic cattle)
Lineage: Eukaryota; Metazoa; Chordata; Mammalia; Artiodactyla; Bovidae
Source: Ensembl